GCGUCUUCCUUUAUAAAAUGAGUUGUAAUUUUUUAAGAGCGAGUAGAUGGACACAGUCAAAGUUGCAAUUGAUUUGAAAGGAAAUGGACAUUUUUGAGGAGAUGCCCGAGAGGGGAAAGACUUCAUUUUAAUCCCGUAUUCGCUUCACUGGUCUGGAACCUGAGCAGCUCUAUCGUCUAAGGUAAGAGGAAUUAAAUGUUUUUUUUUAAUGUUUAAUCUUAGCAUUCAAUGGAGAGAAUACCUAUGAAAGAGAAAGUGUGCAUAGGCUACUCAAAUCAUGCAUGAUUAACGCGCACACUCGCAGUGUGGAUUCAAUGAGGCCCAUAUUUAAAUAUAUCGUUAUAUGUAGGACAAAAAUAUUAAAUUACAUAACAAGUCAGCAUCACACAGAGAGCAACCUAAUUGGCACGAUAAGAUUGAAAAUAAAUUGAAUUGUGGAAACUUACGGACUCAAGGCGGCCGUCAGCUUCAGGCUGUGGUGACGGUUCGGGUAAAGAGGCAUCAGGUGGGACAGCCGUAGUGCUGGCCGCUGCAGGAGUGCUACAGCUGGCAAACACCGAAACACCAAAUGUUUCCUGUCCCAAAGACCGAGAAGAAGGCGUCGUACUCCAUCCGCUUGGUGGGCAUCCAGUCCUCAAAUACUGAAGGUGCGUCCGUUUAAUGUGGCGAAAGAAAGAGUUAAAAACUCUAAAGUCCUGUUCACAUCCAUCAAUACCACAGUAAACCCCAAAAUCCGGGCUGCGACUGUGACUUUUAUUAAUGUGGCUAAGGAGUACUUUAAGACUUAAAGCAACAAAGACGAAACAUAUCAUACACCUCCACGCCGCCAUGAUGCACCGUUGUUGUCGCGGGCUAAUGAUCCAGGGGUGGAUGGGGAGGGGGGCACUCAUGAAAUAAUUUGUUAUUAUUUUAACAAUACAUUCCUCUAAUUAUAAAUGCGACUUAAUUAAUUUUACGAUGGUAAGUUUUUUAAAAAUAAUAUUUUGCUAACAUGUUCAUGUUUACGUCCGAUCAUUUCUGCGCAUCCUCAGUUCAUGUCCUCCAACGGUCCCACCUCAAUGACGUCAGUGUUCGCGGUUCACCGCUUGAGUAACUGAAAGAUUUGGGUGCGUUACAUUUGACGAAGAAGUGCAAGAAGAGCGGCUCAAUUUCUACGGUACCGCCUGUUAAUGCUUCAGGGAGCUGAUGAAUCUAAGAUGGAUACUUUUGACGAUGCCACUCUAUCGGUGUUGGAGGCUGCCAGUGUUGAUGAGGAGGCUUUGAAAGGCCUUAGCCGGGAUGACCUGAGGGAUCUUUUUCCUGGCCCAGAGAAUUUCCUCAAAAGAAAGAAACUUUGGAAUUUCAUCAGUGAAAAUUGUGAAAAUACCACGGACCAAGAUGCCAACAAUUGUGCCAUGCCACCAUGCCAGCCUCAAACCUCAACCCCCAUAUCUGCUGAGAAAAAAAUGAAAAUGCCAGACCCUCCAGAGUAUGUGGUGUACACAGAUUCAGAGUUAGACAUGGUGCGUAGUCAAUACUUUGCACUGCUCUGCAAUGGAAAGGAAAAAAAUUACAAACUGUCCAAGGAGCUAUGUUGCAGACUUGUAAGGAACACAAUAACCAGUAUGGUUGCUAUCCUGCGUGCUAGUCCCAUGGGGAAAGAAGUCAGUUACCCGUCAAAAUUGGAAAUAAGAGCCAUGUCACAGAAGAUUAUAGACUAUUACCCAAUGUUACGGGAUGAUGAUCCAAACAUGCCUUAUCUGACUAUCUACACCAAAAUGUACAAGCGACUCCAAAAUAUGAGAUCCCCACGGAAGAGGCAAGGCUCUGUACCACAAAGAGGAGUGGCAAAGACAGCUCUCUUCAGUGCAGACAACCAAGACAUGGAGACGGAUUGGACAGACACAAGCAACUCAAGUGAUAAUACCUUACUUCUUGAGAGCAAUGAUGACCUUACCGAGGACAACUCCAGUGAAGCAUUCCCAGCACAUCGACCCCCCUCUGUGCCAAGGAAGCCAAAGACCAAAACCUUCCUGCUGCCAUCCGCAUCAGCCUCAGGCUCCUCACUCAGGACUGUGAUCGCUUCACCAACCACGCCUGCAAAGGAUGAUGUUGUCGGCCAGGACAGUCUGAAAAUGCAGGCUAGGCACUACAAAACCUUGAGCAACAUGUACAAUAAGCCAAAUGCAAAACCCAAUCAAAGUGAUGUUGCUCAAGUUUUAGACCUUGAGUUUAAGGCCAGACGGGCUUUCAUUGAUGCAGAUGUUACAAGGGAAGAAGACCGACCUGCAAAAAUCUUUGAGGCAUAUCCAUGCUUUAGAGAUGUUCGAAAUGCAAUGGAUGAGCUGCGGCGCAUAGUAGGUGGCACCAACAGCAGAUACAUCGAGGAAGUGAAAGGAAGAUGGGCAGACUUUUGUGCCAAGGUGCAGUUCUAUGGUGUGUGGAAGAAAGCCCUGAAACCCCCCUUUCCAUUGGAUGUCCGUGGAGUGGAGUUCACGCUUGCCCUCUUCAAUGCACUCCCAUCCCUUUUCCCCUCACCAACUUCACCACCAAAGAAGCUUGGAAAUAGCUGUGAGGCACUUCUUCAUGUCCUGAAGUCAGGCGAAGACCCUGCCCUGUACCUGGAAAAGCAUCCUCUCUCCUCCCCAGUUCUGCUUUCUGAUGGCUCAACCACCAUUGUGGCUGUGGGUAAUGUACCUGUGACCACCCUCCCUCAGGAAGAUUUCUCAGACGGGAUGUUGGUGUUAAUGGCAUAUUACUACACUUUGCACUUAAGAUAUCCAAAAUGUGUUGCAACGCUCCUGUCAGUUAUUCAAACAGAGGUAAUUGGUGACACAAUCCACGAUCAAGAUGCCACUAGUGCUUACAGGAAAGCAAUGGCUGAUUGGAAGUCUUUCAUUGAGAAGUAGCUGAGUAUUUUGUCAUGCCAGUUCUUAUUGUUAGCUGUGAGUUCUUAUUGUUAGCUGUGCCUAAUAAUAGUUUUGUGUUGCACAAGCUUAUACAGUCACUGAGUUAUUACCUCAUUUAGGCCUGUAUUUAAAAUGAUAGUUAAGGAAAAAUCCAUAACUGAGGGCUGAGAAGUGUUUUUGUUUUUUGCCCUUUUGCUUUUAAUUUCUUUUAUUUUUAUGGAAAAGUAUUCAAAUGUCUAUAGCAAACUUGACUUGCUGAUGUUAAAUAAAUGUUGUCUUAAGCCAUGUUAUUUCUGCACCAUUAUUCUAAAAAAGGACAGGCUUUAGAUUUUAAGAUGCUCAAAGUAAGAAAACAAAAUGGGUAAUUGCUUAUAUUUAG
Gasterosteus aculeatus aculeatus (three-spined stickleback) is the source of this 3267-nucleotide long non-coding RNA. Lineage: Eukaryota; Metazoa; Chordata; Actinopteri; Perciformes; Gasterosteidae. The record is from Ensembl.